Molecule: long non-coding RNA, 1038 nt
Filed under: Salvia miltiorrhiza (redroot sage)
Lineage: Eukaryota; Viridiplantae; Streptophyta; Magnoliopsida; Lamiales; Lamiaceae
Description: long non-coding RNA (SMIL_LNC008393)
Source: RNAcentral
GGGAAUACAUAAUAAUGAAUUGAUUGAGUUUUGGGCCAAUAAAGUCUGUCAGAUAUGGUGGUUGCAUUUAUUUUUUUCAGUAGAGGUGGUUGCACAUUGAUAAAAAAUAUCAUUGAUAUUUUUAAGUGCUAAUUUCUGUUAAAUAAUGUGGUGCUUGUAUUUAUGGAACAAUCAUGUGUAACAUUUCCUCUGGAGUCAAAUUAAAAACUUUUAUUUUUGCAUACUUGCAAUAUCAUCAAAUUUGUCAUGUAGCCAAACGCAUAAUAUGAGGUAAUUUAAUUAAAAAAAUAAAUUACCUAUAAGAGUUACUUUAUCGUAUAACGGCGAGAUUUUUACUUCUUAUUUUUUGGGUUAUGUUUCUUUAACCUUUCCAAUUUAAUUUCAAACUUUUUCUAGGAUUUUAUUUUAAUUCAAUGUGUCACACAACACAAUGGAUCUAGUUAUGCACGUCCAAUUUUUUUUUUUUUUGUUAAAUAAGAGACUGAAUAUAUUUCACCCCCAAAAAAAAGGCAUAUUAACUUUUUGUAAAAAUUAAAGAUUGUUGUUAUAAUCACGUAUGCAAAUGUCCUACACAACAAAUAAUUAAGACAAAUCAUAGUAAUAUAUUCCUCGACAAUUAUUUGUUGAUCAUUUACUGGAAAGGCAUAAGGAGUUGGAAAGUUGGAAUGAAAAUGAAAGUGAUAGACAUGAUUUUUUAUUAUAUACAAGAAUAUGUGUGUUAGGUGGAAGAUUGUAUAGUUUAAUUAGUGAAUGAAAAAUGAAAGCGACAAUAUUUUUAUUUAUAAAUAUGUGUUAGGUGGAAGAUUGUAUAGUUUUAGCUAAAAAUCUAAGAGGUCCACACACACACACACCAUGCACUCCCUAUACAUAUAUUAAUAAUUAAAUUUAGAAUCUAGGGUUCAAGGGAACUACGAUAACAUAUCCCAGUCUAAAUUUUGGAGAUCUCUACAAUGUAGCAAAGAUUUCAUUUUCAUGAAAUAUUUAAUCUUGGGGUUCUAUAGUUCUUUAUAUUAGCAUUUAUACCCAGUGCAAUGCACG